ACGGAGCAGCCAUGGCUGCUACUGUUCACGGCCAGCCAUGGCUGUUUUAAAAAAAAAUAAAAAUUGCUUUGAUUUAAUUCCAAGGUGAUUUACAAGUUCAAGGAGGUGAUAGCAACAUUGGAUAUUGAAUCGAGAAAGAAGAAAUUGCGAAAUUGGAGCAGUUAAGAUUAGAAAUUCCUCCGAGAAAGUUAAGGCUAAAAGAGCGACGAGGCGAACGGAUUUACGAAUAGUCGCUAACAGGUACAGACGCUUAUUUUGGAGAUCCGUCAGCUUAGGGUACCUAUUCAGCUAUUUUGGACCGCUCCUUUGUUCCGGAGCUAGCUUGUGGUAUAACUCCCUUGUGUUGUAUUCAUAUGUGUUAAAUUGGGUACAGCGGGGCCCUGUCCCGCCAUAUGAUACAGUCAUUACUCUUAGAGGUCUGUGGACAUCUUUGUGGGUCUGUAUGUAGUUGUUGAUGCGUUGUAUGACUAUGACUUAUGUUUGGGGCG
Molecule: long non-coding RNA, 488 nt
Organism: Lycium barbarum (goji berry)
Lineage: Eukaryota; Viridiplantae; Streptophyta; Magnoliopsida; Solanales; Solanaceae
Exons: 3
Source: RefSeq, a predicted model, not a curated record